AUAAGCGGAGGAAAAGAAACCAACAGGGAUUGCCCUAGUAACGGCGAGUGAAGCGGCAACAGCUCAAAUUUGAAAUCUGGCGCAAGCCCGAGUUGUAAUUUGUAGAGGAUGCUUCUGGGUAGCGGCCGGUCUAAGUUCCUUGGAACAGGACGUCAUAGAGGGUGAGAAUCCCGUAUGUGACUGGCCCGCACCCUCCACGUAGCUCCUUCGACGAGUCGAGUUGUUUGGGAAUGCAGCUCUAAAUGGGAGGUAAAUUUCUUCUAAAGCUAAAUACCGGCCAGAGACCGAUAGCGCACAAGUAGAGUGAUCGAAAGAUGAAAAGCACUUUGGAAAGAGAGUUAAACAGCACGUGAAAUUGUUGAAAGGGAAGCGCCCGCAACCAGACUUCGCGGCGGUGUUCCACCGGUCUUCUGACCGGUCUACUCUCCGUCGUGAGGCCAUCAUCGUCUGGGGCCGCCGGAUAAGACUUAAGGAAUGUAGCACCCCUCGGGGUGUGUUAUAGCCUUCUGUGAUGCGGCGAGUCCCGGGCGAGGUCCGCGCUUCGGCAAGGAUGAUGGCGUAAUGGUUGUCGGCGGCCCGUCUUGAAACACGGACCAAGGAGUCUAACAUCUAUGCGAGUGUUCGGGUGUCAAACCCCUACGCGUAAUGAAAGUGAACGGAGGUGGGAGCUUCGGCGCACCAUCGACCGAUCCUGAUGUCCUCGGAUGGAUUUGAGUAAGAGCAUAGCUGUUGGGACCCGAAAGAUGGUGAACUAUGCCUGAAUAGGGUGAAGCCAGAGGAAACUCUGGUGGAGGCUCGCAGCGGUUCUGACGUGCAAAUCGAUCGUCAAAUUUGGGUAUAGGGGCGAAAGACUAAUCGAACCAUCUAGUAGCUGGUUCCUGCCGAA
This 886-nucleotide ribosomal RNA is filed under the name Pseudocercospora nephrolepidicola. RNAcentral's name for it is "eukaryotic LSU rRNA". It matches the Rfam family "Eukaryotic large subunit ribosomal RNA", at positions 46 to 965 of the family's 3401-position model. Lineage: Eukaryota; Fungi; Ascomycota; Dothideomycetes; Mycosphaerellales; Mycosphaerellaceae. The record is from RNAcentral.